CCUACGGGAGGCAGCAGUGGGGAAUAUUGGGCAAUGGAGGCAACUCUGACCCAGCAACGCCGCGUGAGCGAUGAAGGUCUUCGGAUUGUAAAGCCCCUUAAGCGGGGACGAAGAAAGUGACUGUACCCGCAGAAUAAGUCUCGGCUAACUACGGGCCAGCAGCCGCGGUAAUACGUAGGAGGCAAGCGUUAUCCGGAAUGACUGGGGGUAAAGGGUGCGUAGGUGGUUUGGCAAGUUUGUAGCGUAAUCCCGGGGCUCAACCGCGGUGCUACUACCAAAACUGUUGAGCUUGAGUGCAGGAGGGGUGAGUGGAAUGCGCGGUGUAGCGGGGGAAUGCGUAGAUAUUGGGAAGAACACCGGCGGCGAAGGCGGUUCGCUGGACUGUAACUGACACUGAGGCACGAAAGCGUGGGGAGCGAACAGGAUUAGAUACCCUAGUAGUC
Molecule: ribosomal RNA, 443 nt
Filed under: uncultured bacterium
Lineage: Bacteria
Description: partial 16S ribosomal RNA
Rfam family: Bacterial small subunit ribosomal RNA
Source: RNAcentral